This is an RNA transcript of Bufo gargarizans (Asiatic toad), 965 nucleotides long. It is a transcript of the gene named major facilitator superfamily domain containing 3, with no coding region annotated. Lineage: Eukaryota; Metazoa; Chordata; Amphibia; Anura; Bufonidae. The transcript is spliced from 4 exons. The record is from RefSeq and is a predicted model, not a curated record.
CAGGGAUCGCUCAGUAUGGUCCCACUGCUGCUGCUGGAUCAGGGCGUGUCCCCGGCGGAGUUGGGGAUCUGGAGCGGAAUGGUGUCCUUGGGGUUCUCCAUUGCUGGAUCUGCGGUUGGAGGAGCGCUCCUGAGGAAGGGCAGGUCGGUUCACUCGCUGCUCAGGACGCUCUUCCUUUUCCGGCUCUCCUGUCUGGUGCUGCAGACUAUCCUCCUCACUUCCUUGGGUAGAGAAGCAGGCUUUGUGAAAGACACGUCUUGCGCGGUGGAUGUUACGUUCUGCUGGCCGUCGGUGAUUCAGAGUCUUCCGGUAGAGAUGAUGUGACCUCUUCUCCUCAGUGUCUCUGCUCCUGACUCUGGUGCUGCAGAAUUUCCUGGCCGGUGUGAUCACUACAGCGACCUUCACCCUAAUGAUGCUCUGCACUCGUCAAUGUCACAAGAGAGUCCAGGCCAGUCACUACAGUCUUCUGUCAUCUCUAGAGGUUCUUGGUAAAGUGGUUUUCAGCGCGGUCUCGGGGCUCCUGGUGGACUCUCUUGGUGUCUCUGCAUCCUUCUCCCUGUUUAUUGUUCUCUCCUGUCUGCCCCUCCUUCACCUUCAGAGACUUCCAUCCACCUUACGGUGAGCAGAGCUGAGCAAUCCCUGCCUGAGCCACCUCCAGAGAACGGCACCAUCAUCAGACCUCAGUGCAAUACGAUGACAUCACCACCAGCCCUCUGAGCAGCACGGUGACAUCACCACCAGACCUCUGAGCAGCACGGUGACAUCACCACCAGACCUCUGAGCAGCACGGUGACAUCUCCACCAGCCCUCUAAGCAGCACGGUGACAUCUCCACCAGCCCUCUGAGCAGCAUGGUGACAUCACCACCAGCCCUCUGAGCAGCAUGGUGACAUCACCACCAGCCCUCUGAGCAGCAUGGUGACAUCACCACCAGCACUCUGAGCAGCAUGGUGACAUCACCACCAG